GUUCAAACAGAAAAUGAAGAAUACCAUAGUACCAUUGAAUUGCAGCUUCUUAUUUUCUAUUUAAAUUUUUGGUAUAAUUUCUUUGCAUCAUGUUUAAUUGCAUUGUAUUGCACCAAAUUGCA
This is a long non-coding RNA of Thalassophryne amazonica, 122 nucleotides long. RefSeq lists it as uncharacterized. NCBI's taxonomy places the organism in Eukaryota, Metazoa, Chordata, Actinopteri, Batrachoidiformes, Batrachoididae. The record is from RefSeq and is a predicted model, not a curated record. The transcript is spliced from 3 exons.